This 513-nucleotide ribosomal RNA is filed under the name uncultured bacterium. Its description in RNAcentral is "partial 16S ribosomal RNA". It matches the Rfam family "Bacterial small subunit ribosomal RNA", at positions 28 to 507 of the family's 1533-position model. The record is from RNAcentral.
GACGAACGCUGGCGGCGUGCUUAACACAUGCAAGUCGAACGAAAAGAGGGGAAGAGCUUGCUCUUUCCGGAAUUGAGUGGCAAACGGGUGAGUAACACGUAAACAACCUGCCUUCAGGAUGGGGACAACAGACGGAAACGACUGCUAAUACCGAAUAAGUUCCAAGGGCCGCAUGGCCCAUGGAAGAAAAGGUGGCCUCUACCUGUAAGCUAUCGCCUGAAGAGGGGUUUGCGUCUGAUUAGCUGGUUGGAGGGGUAACGGCCCACCAAGGCGACGAUCAGUAGCCGGUCUGAGAGGAUGAACGGCCACACUGGAACUGAGACACGGUCCAGACUCCUACGGGAGGCAGCAGUGGGGAAUCUUCCGCAAUGGGCGAAAGCCUGACGGAGCAACGCCGCGUGAGUGAUGACGGCCUUCGGGUUGUAAAACUCUGUGAUCCGGGACGAAAAGGCAGAGUGCGAAGAACAAACUGCAUUGACGGUACCGGAAAAGCAAGCCACGGCUAACUACGUG